CCUACGGGAGGCAGCAGUGGGGAAUUUUGGACAAUGGGCGCAAGCCUGAUCCAGCCAUGCCGCGUGUAUGAAGAAGGCCUUAGGGUUGUAAAGUACUUUUGUUAGGGAAGAAAAGGGAAGUGCUAAUAUCACUUUUUGCUGACGGUACCUAAAGAAUAAGCACCGGCUAACUACGUGCCAGCAGCCGCGGUAAUACGUAGGGUGCGAGCGUUAAUCGGAAUUACUGGGCGUAAAGCGAGCGCAGACGGUUACUUAAGCAAGAUGUGAAAUCCCCGAGCUCAACUUGGGAACUGCGUUUUGAACUGGGUAGCUAGAGUGUGUCAGAGGGGGGUAGAAUUCCACGUGUAGCAGUGAAAUGCGUAGAGAUGUGGAGGAAUACCGAUGGCGAAGGCAGCCCCCUGGGAUAACACUGACGUUCAUGCUCGAAAGCGUGGGUAGCAAACAGGAUUAGAUACCCGGGUAGUC
This 465-nucleotide ribosomal RNA is filed under the name uncultured Eikenella sp. Its description in RNAcentral is "bacterial SSU rRNA". It matches the Rfam family "Bacterial small subunit ribosomal RNA", at positions 338 to 795 of the family's 1533-position model. The record is from RNAcentral. Lineage: Bacteria; Pseudomonadati; Pseudomonadota; Betaproteobacteria; Neisseriales; Neisseriaceae.